Molecule: non-coding RNA, 199 nt
Organism: Camellia sinensis
Lineage: Eukaryota; Viridiplantae; Streptophyta; Magnoliopsida; Ericales; Theaceae
Source: RefSeq, a predicted model, not a curated record
CUCUUUUGUGCUUCUUCUCUUCAACUUUCAAGUGCUCUCGCAGUUUCAUUGGCUUCAAUAUCGAAUUCCCAAGUGUUGUUUGUUCCAUCCAUCUUCAAACUUCUUAAUUGCCUAUUGUCCAGUUCGGAAUUUCGAUUAGGGAAAGAUUUUGGACUCUUGGCAAGUUUUUUGAUCUCAAGGAAACGAGUCUCGAUUGCGG